Molecule: ribosomal RNA, 253 nt
Filed under: uncultured bacterium
Lineage: Bacteria
Description: partial 16S ribosomal RNA
Rfam family: Bacterial small subunit ribosomal RNA
Source: RNAcentral
UACAGAGGAGCCAAGCGUUGUCCGGAUUGACUGGGCGUAAAGCGCACGCAGGCGGGUGCGCGCGUGGGGUGUGAAAUCUGGCCGCUUAACGGCCAGGCGCCAUCCCAUACGGCGCGCCUGGAGCCUUGCAGAGGUCGGUGGAAUUGCCGGUGUAGUGGUGAAAUGCGCAGAUAUCAGGAGGAACACCGGUGGCGAAGGCGCCACUCUGGGCCGGUACUGACGCUGAGGAGCGAAAGCGUGGGUAGCAAACAGG